CCUACGGGCGGCAGCAGUGAGGAAUAUUGGUCAAUGGACGAGAGUCUGAACCAGCCAAGUAGCGUGAAGGAUGACUGCCCUAUGGGUUGUAAACUUCUUUUAUAUGGGAAUAAAAUGUUCCACGUGUGGGAUUUUGUAUGUACCAUAUGAAUAAGGAUCGGCUAAUUCCGUGCCAGCAGCCGCGGUAAUACGGAGGAUCCGAGCGUUAUCCGGAUUUAUUGGGUUUAAAGGGAGCGUAGGUGGAAUGUUAAGUGUGUUGUGAAAGUUUGCGGCUCAACCGUAAAAUUGCGGUUGAAACUGGCUGUCUUGAGUGCAGUAGAGGUAGGCGGAAUUCGUGGUGUAGCGGUGAAAUGCUUAGAUAUCACGAAGAACUCCGAUUGCGAAGGCAGCAUACUGGAGUGCAACUGACGCUGAGGCUCGAAGGUGUGGGUAUCGAACAGGAUUAGAUACCCUAGUAGUC
This 460-nucleotide ribosomal RNA is filed under the name uncultured bacterium. Its description in RNAcentral is "partial 16S ribosomal RNA". It matches the Rfam family "Bacterial small subunit ribosomal RNA", at positions 338 to 795 of the family's 1533-position model. The record is from RNAcentral.